This 442-nucleotide ribosomal RNA is filed under the name uncultured bacterium. RNAcentral describes it as "partial 16S ribosomal RNA". It matches the Rfam family "Bacterial small subunit ribosomal RNA", at positions 338 to 795 of the family's 1533-position model. The record is from RNAcentral.
CCUACGGGGGGCAGCAGUGGGGAAUCUUGGGCAAUGGGCGCAAGCCUGACCCAGCAACGCCGCGUGAAGGAAGAAGGUUUUCGGGUUGUAAACCUCUUUUGUCAGGGAAGAGUAGAAGACGGUAUCUGACGAAUAAGCUACGGCUAAAUACGUGCCAGCAGCCGCGGCUAUAAGCAGGGGGCAAGCGUUGUCCGGAAUUACUGGGCGUAAAGGGGGUGUAGCCGGGUUGACAAGUCAGAUGUGAAAUCCUUCGGCUUAAACGAAGAACUGCAUUUGAAACUGUUGAUCUUGAGUGCUAGAGAGGCAGAUGGAAUUCCUAGUGUAGCGGUGAAAUGCGUAGAUAUUAGGAGGAACACCAGUGGCGAAGGCGGUCUGCUGGACAGCAACUGACGGUGAGGCGCGAAAGCGUGGGGAGCAAACAGGAUUAGAUACCCUUGUAGUC